Hemibagrus wyckioides is the source of this 4501-nucleotide long non-coding RNA. RefSeq lists it as uncharacterized. The record is from RefSeq and is a predicted model, not a curated record. NCBI's taxonomy places the organism in Eukaryota, Metazoa, Chordata, Actinopteri, Siluriformes, Bagridae. The transcript is spliced from 3 exons.
GGGGAUUCUGCCGUUCCGUUGCGCACAGCCGCACUGCUUUAUACCGCAUCGCCACAAAACCACCGACUGAACCGGCUGGUCGAAAUCACUUAGGCGCUGUAUUUUUUCCCGCAUCCCCACUUCUCGUUUUUCCUAAGCUUCAGAAAAAAAACCCCCAUCAGCGCACUCAAGGCAGAGCGAGAGCAGGAGAAGAGGGAGACGAAAAUAAGAAAAAGCAAAACAACACCAAAAAAAAAAAACCCAAAAACUGUCAUCUCUGCAGAACUCAACCGCACAGUUUCCAGCAUGAGCGAGCCUACGCCCACAGGAAACCCAGACAGCAGCCAAACACCCGCCUCAGACACCAAAGGAAAGGCGCCUGCCACAGCAGGGAAGCCGGAGCAGGAGGAGGAGAUCGAUAUUGAUCUGGAGGCACCUGAGACGGAGAAAGCAGCUCUUGCCAUUCAAAACCAGUUCAGGCGUUUCCAGAAGAAAAAGAAGUAGAUCUUUAAUCCAACAACUGUAAUAAAUGAAACAAAUAUUAACAGGAAUAAGACAUAGAAAGAAAGUGGUGGUAGAAAUUUAUUUUUAAAAAAAAGCACAUAGUCAGCAGAAAAACAGCAAGAUAUCUUCUGCAUGUUAAGGAGAGAUUAUUGGGCAAAGGGAAACAAAUAUCAACAGGAAGUGGAAUUAAUAAUCUAGCAUGAAAGUAGUCAGUCAGCUAUUUGCUUUCCCUGAAAACGUUAAAUGCAUAAAUAACAAUUACACAGUGAAUGGCACAUUUUGACCUCAAAAUACAUAGAAUGAUCCAGAAUAAAAAAAUAUUCCUGUAUCUCUAAAUAGCCAUAUACAGAAGCCCCCCCAGUAGAAAAUGAAUACAGAAGCUCCCCCUGUAUGUCUAAAACUUAAACACUGUGCUUAAAUGUGCCCAAAUUCAGUGUAUAGACCAACUGAAGUCACUGCACUGAAAAGAAAGCCAUUUGACAAACAAAAUUAUUUUCUCCAUCCACAGAGCAAGCACAUGAUUCAAAAGAGCACAUGUCUCGUUCAAAAGAGCACAUUAGCAUUUUUCCAGCUCCCACUUCUAGACUUCCUUUUUAUUUCUUUCCUGCUCUACCCUGUGGCAUUGAUGACUUGGGAACUUAGAGACAGUCACAGAUUUUUUUGGUUUUAUAGCAGUGAGCAUGUGUGUAUCGUGUUUCCAGGUAAAGCUAUAGCUAUCCCUGAGGUUGCACUAUGCAGGCACACCAUAGAGAAACAGGCGGGUUGGAGGGAUAUUCACUGCAUCCCCAUGGUAUGCUGUUUCCAUGCCAACCUGAAUUAUUGAUACACCUUUGCUUGCACAACAGCGUGCCCAAACUGAUCAAAAAGCUUGUUGAGUUGAGAAGGAAAUAGGCAGUAAGACAACCGUGGUGGGAAAUUAGACAAAUUAAAUUAGUCCCAUUAGAACCCAUCAGUACUGAGACCUUAAUACAAUAGACCUUGACUAAGUAACUCCAUUUAGUAACUCCAUGAGGAAUAAAUAAAACCAUAUGCUUCAUUUGAGGUUCAAGUUCCACACACAAUCACAAAUGAAUAGCACCAAAUUUAAACCUUAUUUCCUAAUAGUUUAGAUCCCAACAUAGGGCCACUAAAUAGAGACUAAGGUAUAGAAUUAGGACAGAGAGGAAAUGGAGAGCAGACUAAUUGGAGCUGAACAUUAUGCCCAAUUUAAACUGACUCCUUGAGUCAUGGGCUAGUUUUGCUAAUUCUAAACAUAUUCUUGUCAUAUUUACCACAGACACGCACAACCACACUUUUUGUUGGCACAAAAAAGUCUUUAAAGUAUAUAAAACAUAAAACUGACCUGCUCUGGAAAACUAAGAGCUCUAACUAAUUAAUACUCUAUUACUGGAAUAUAACCUCUUUUUCUAUUUAUAGGGCUGAGGCACAAUUAGCACAUUAAAAACGUGCUCAUUACGCAUGGUGAGAUAUCCCUAAAGCAUCCCUACAUGAAAGGAGUCUGUAGUCUUAUGGAUCUUGUAUUGUAUUUAUCAGAUAGCAGACACACAAACCGCAGGGCACAUUUCACAUUAAAACCAUGACGAAAGUCAAAACUAACUGCAACUGGUUGUAGUGAUGAAGGUUACGAAUUAAACCAUGAUUAACAACAUUUGGGGUGUAACUAGUGUUAACUAUAUGAAUGUUUACACACUGGGUGUGUGCUAACCUUCAAAUAGUCGAGUGUUAACUUUGCAAUAAGUUUUAUUUCAUUUUCUAUCACUCUCUCUCCUCCUGUGGCCCUCAUCCAUAUCCAUUUCUCCCACUGUUAUACUUUAUGGCCCAUUUUAGGCAUGACCUCCUUUCACUUUGCCUCAAGUCAUCUCAAUCUUGGAUCUCCCGUACUUGGCAUGUCGGCUAUGCUGUUUGAAAGCCAGUUUUAGAGUUCUGUAUAAUACUCCAUGCAGUUGUGAUCUGUACUUAUACCUUAGCAGUUACAGUUACAAUUAACGUUAAGUACUGUAUAUCCAGUGUGAAGUACUGUAUAUCCACUCUAUACCUUGGAUACUAUAUAUGCUAUGUCAAUAAUCAAUAAUCAUAUUAAUACACUUGGUUUUAAAAGGUUUUAAAAUUCGCCUGGUCUUAGCACUUUCAUACCUCCCUUUCCACAUCCCUAAUCCAGCCUUUUCUAAUGUGUUGCAUUAAAGUAACAUGGCUUUGCAAUCGUAAAAAGCAAGGAUUACCACCACCACUAUGUUGCUUUUAUGACUCAAAAUAGUACCAAACCAUGGGAGUGGAAGAAAACUUUACCAAUAGCCAUGAUACUGAGAGCAAGGACAAGAGGACAAAUCAAGUCAAGCAACACUGGUAAGGUACCAGAGCCACAACCUGACCUCAAAACCCUCUUCAGGUGACCUUAUAUAUAAACGGACUGAAUUACAUCACUUUCUGUCUGUUGAUUAUUGAUGUGAGCCCAAUCAAGAGAUGCGGUGCUUUCUGAUUUCUUUAAUUGAGCCUCCUCACUUCAUUUCCAUGCUUCCUGUCCUCGCUUCUUAGCUCCUCCCUUAGAGAAAGUGGAGGAAUGAAGGAAGGAAAUGAGGACAGGAGGAAUAGAGAAUAAAUGAGAUGUUCUUGCUCACGGAAUGGUUACUUUAAAGCAACUAUAGCAAAUUCAUUUAUUGAUAUGUUUCUUUUUUCCGUUCUAUUCAGUAACAGUAUAUACAGAGAUUUCGCACUAAAUUAUCCUUAAUUACAAACAUUAUGGCAUGUGUACAUCAUGUUUUAGACUGAACCAGAUGCUUCAUUUAAAAGUGAAAUUACUUGACUUUCAUGCACAUGUUUUCUUUGUAUUAUUUAUGAAUUAAGGUUAUUAUGUAAAUUUUGUAUUUGUGGUUCGUUAUCGGAGUUAGAUUUUUUUUUGGGGGGGGGGGGGUGGUUUGGGGGGUUGGGAGUGGAGCAUUUGUACCAUCAUGCUCUAAAACAAAAAGAACUCACACAUAGAAAACAUCUGUAUAUCCUUGCUCUCUCUUUGAUUCUUCUGAGUGUAUUUUAAGGAGACUUUCACACUGCAGGUUAGUCUGAAUCAGCGCAUGCUUGCAUGAAUUGGUAAUGUGAAAGCUGUAAUGUAAACCCUGAAACACAUUGCAGUACAGAUCCUGAGACUACCUGUAGGAGGUGGUGUGAGUUUGGUUGUGCUGGAACUGUGCCAUUGUUCCUAUUAUAGUGAACACAGCUCGUACACCUGUUCAGGGAGUUUUGGCUGAUGAUGAUAAUUAGUUUCCAUAAUACACUUGUACUCUGAGUGGCUGGGGAACAUUGUGGCACACAAUAGCAUAAAAAUAAAACAUAUAAAUAAAAGAAAAAGUCAUAUUGUGUCCUCUAUGUGCAUUUGUGAUGAUGUAAGAUGAAAUGCACCAGGGUUCACUAGAAUCUCACCAACGAUGUGAAACCAAACCAAUGAUGUUGGAGCACUAAGUUUCGGACCGCAGCAGUGUGAAAACCACCUGAAGAAUUGUUACAUCCUUAAAGAUGGCAGCCAUUGAUUGAUUUCCAGCACAUGAGCUGAAGGAAGAAGGAUCAAGGAAUCAAAGAGACAGUCAAUUAGAGUUUUGGGAAGUGCCCAGAAAAACUGUAGCUGCCUCCUACAAUGCAAAAGUUUUGACAGAAUGAUUGGAUAUGAGUAAUAUUAAGAAACCCAUGUCAGUCUUUUUGGGGUGUAGAUUGAAUGUGGAUGUGAAGUCACAGAUUUUAUAUUGAAGUAGGGCCAUGGGGAGGGGCAUACAGAUGCUUUGGAUUGGGACUACCCUCUGUAGGACUUAUGUAGUUGCUAACCACAUUUUUCCAUGUUACCUAGAGAGGGAAUAUGAAAAUGGUUGUGACAUCACACUGUGUUUUAGCACCGCAGGUCCUGUUUUGUUUUAGGCAUUUCUUUAUGACAUACUGUAUGUAAAUCCUGUGCGGCGGAGAAAGCGCAUUCAAACAUUCCUGAUGUGUUGCUUUGAAUUAUACACAAUUAAAAUUUGCUGCAGAUUGCUUAAGAAAA